RNAcentral lists this small nuclear RNA (134 nucleotides) under Notamacropus eugenii (tammar wallaby). RNAcentral's name for it is "U1 spliceosomal RNA (ENSMEUG00000016873.1)". It matches the Rfam family "U1 spliceosomal RNA". From Rfam's summary of the family: U1 is a small nuclear RNA (snRNA) component of the spliceosome (involved in pre-mRNA splicing). Its 5' end forms complementary base pairs with the 5' splice junction, thus defining the 5' donor site of an intron. The record is from RNAcentral. Lineage: Eukaryota; Metazoa; Chordata; Mammalia; Diprotodontia; Macropodidae.
CUACUUGUCUGGAAGAGGUGGUUCCAUGAUCAUCAAGGGUGAGGCUUAUCCAUUGUACUCUGAUUUCCCCAAAUGUGGGGAAACUUGACUGUAUAAUUUGUGGUAGUAGGGGACUGUGUUUGCACUCUCUUCUA